RNAcentral lists this long non-coding RNA (2818 nucleotides) under Cucumis sativus (cucumber). Its description in RNAcentral is "long non-coding RNA (CSAT_LNC000999)". Lineage: Eukaryota; Viridiplantae; Streptophyta; Magnoliopsida; Cucurbitales; Cucurbitaceae. The record is from RNAcentral.
ACAAAGAAAAGCACUAAUUUAGAGAAUGCUUACGUCUAGCUUUCACAAACAUCACAUCAUAGUUAUUAAAACAAGAAAGAAGAAGAAGAAGAAGAAGGAAACAUUUGUUUAUAACAUACAUAAAGUAUCUUCCCUCAACUAUCUUUAUUACAACACAAGAAGGUAAGAUUUCUCACAACAUUCACUCCCUUACCCUUUGUUCUUCUGUCUCAUCGUGCAGUAUUUUCCUCAACUUUGUUAUCUGCAAUUACAUUGUGUAAUAUGUUGCAGAAUUUUACAAACAAAAACAAAAAAAAGUGACAUUUUAUACACUAUAUGAUAGAUUUAACUAUAUAUAACAAUAAUAUAUACUAUCUAAAGGAGGCUAAGGGGAAAAAGAAUGUUUCUCCCCAUUUACGCCUCUUACUGAUUGAUGAUAUGAUUAUUCUAUGUAAUUUCACAUUAAAAUCAUUAAAAAAAACACAUGUUUUCUUCCAAUUUUUCUUUUUAAUUCUUUAAAAAAAUAAAUUUAAAAAUAUUUCUAGAUAACCUAUAUCUAUCUAACACACAUACAAUCUAAAAAGGCUUUAGACAGAUUUUCCCAAAUUUUUCUAUCACAUGUUAAACAAAAUAAUUAAUAAUAAUCAUAAUCAUAAUGAUAAAAGGUGUGUCCUACCAAACAUGUAAAAUCUAAAAGGGUCUUAACUUAACUUGGUUUAGAAAAAAAAAAUUUAAGUAAUAUAUAUAAUUUUAAAAUCUAGAAUGUGGUUACGAAAAACAUAAAUAACUAAGUUCAACAACAUCCGUAACUCUUCUCACUACAAGAAAAAGUUAAUUUUUCGACACACAAAACAACAUCAAGAGAUAAUAAGUCAGAAAAAAUGAUAUCUCCUUACAAGCUAUGGCAAGCAUUGGAAGUUAGUCAUAACCCCGAACGUUGUACGUCGGGAGUAAAUUGAGAAAGAAUGUUUUUGUAGAGAAACUCCCGACGCCUUUCUUUAGAGUUUUCCUAUUUUAUAUAGAACUUUCAGAUCUCAUUUCCUUCCUACUAUUUAAACUCUAAUUUUUCACUCUCCAUCUUCCUCACAACGCCAACGUCGUUUGCUCGCACAGCCCCCUUCCCACCUUGGGUUGCUCCGCCUCUUCCUCUCUCAACGCUACUUCACCCACCACCGCUACUCCCUCCAUUGUUUUCCUUUACCUAUUUCAUUUGUACAUUAUUUCUUCUCUUUUGUGCACUUUCACGACUUGAUUUUCAAAUUUAUUCUAAUUGUAAUUUCCUUUUUCACGAUAAUUUUGUUUAUUUCCAUUUUAGGUUUGUGUGUUUAUAGUUUUUCCUCAGAUGCUACUUGCUUUCGUGUUCAUAUUUGAAAUUUAUACAAAAAGCUUAAAUUCAAAUAUGGUUUUUUGAGCAAAAGGACUUAACGAUGAAGGGCUUAAUCAUUGUAAAGGUUUUUUGUGGCCUUUUGCUUUGAGAAACCAUCGUGAGAUGUUUAGGUUUUUUAUUCUUAAUCUGAAUUUGAAUGUUAUAAAAGCUUUUUUUUUUAUAUACUUUAAUUCUUAAAUUCUUUUGUUGAACUGAAGUGUUUAUCUCCUUUCUUUAGAUUUUGAUCGAACUUGGUACGAAUUGAGCAAAUGAGAAAUUACAAAGUUCAAGCAACUCAUCAAUGUUAGUAAAGUGAAGGAUUCUUGCUUUCAUUGAAUAGUAAUGUAAUUGUUAAAUUUUGUAGUUAGCUUCAAUUAUAUAUAUGUAGUUUAGAGUUGCAUUUUAUUGCUUGUAGUUGUGAUCUUUGAUUGAAUUAAUUACGUGGCAAGAGAGAUUAUUAUGAUCUUUUUUCUCCUUUAGUGAAUAAAUUUCAUAUUAAUUUCUAAAAUUACAUCAAUUACCUAACAAAAUUUCACAUAUUAAAAGGAUUUAAACACCUUGGAUGUUCUUUUGGUCGAGAUUUAGACGGUAAUAUAACGUUGAUCUAAAUUCUUUUUGAAUUAAAUUUGAGUGUUUACAUGUUGUCCCUAGCAUUUGUGAACUCUUAGAUCCAAACUAGAUUUGGACUAAUUCUAACAAAGAUCAUAACCUUUGGAAUAAUCUUCAUUUGUAGUUGUUUAACUUUUUUUAGUUUAGAGUUUCCUUUGAUAUAUAUAUUCUUAAUAUUUGUUGUGAUACAUGCCUGCAUAUUGUUACUAAUUGUUACUUAAUACCACAACUUAAUUAUAUUGUAGGUAAAUAUGAUGUCUUGGAAGCUACAUGUAAAUUGUACACUUAUACUGUACCCUAUAUAGGUAAACAUUAUUAUAUUCUUUACUACACCUAUCUCUCUUAUAUGUAAUAACAAUUUUGGUUGUUUUUUUGAGUGUGUGUGAAAACUUUUCCUUUGCUCAACUAUUAUUGAUUUGGGUUCUAUAAAUUUUAGGUUAUGAAGAUCAAAUUUAAAAACAAUUAACUGGUUAAUGAAUGAAAAGAAAAGAAAUGGUUCAUUAUGAAAACGGAACAAUAGAAAUAUCAUAAGGUGAGAUUUGUUAAAAAGAUGAUGAGAUAAAAUUGUAAAAUAAAAAGAAAAAGAUAAGCUUAUUUAUUUGAGAAUUAAGAGAAUAAUAAUGAUCAUAAUUAGAUAAGAGAGAAUAUGAAAUGGAUGAAAAGAAAAGAAUGAAAAUGGAAGUGGGAGGUGGCAUUAAUGUAUUAUAGGAUUGCCAGAAAAGAGAUCUAAGUAUCUAAUUUCAUAUCACAUAAUUAUUUAAAUUAAAAAGAAGAAAAACAAAAUGUAAAUAAGAUGAUGGUUAAAAGAAAUACCUGGACCGCACUUGAUUGUACACUUCCUCUCACAACGCUGCAUCGCCCUAG